UACGGGGGGGGCAAGCGUUGUCCGGAAUUACUGGGCGUAAAGGGCUCGUAGGCGGCCAACUAAGUCAGACGUGAAAUCCCCAGGCUCAACCUGGGAACUGCGUCUGAUACUGGAUGGCUUGAAUCCGGGAGAGGGAUGCAGAAUUCCAGGUGUAGCGGUGAAAUGCGUAGAUAUCUGGAGGAAUACCGGUGGCGAAGGCGGCAUCCUGGACCGGCAUUGACGCUGAGGAGCGAAAGCUAGGGGAGCAAACGGG
Molecule: ribosomal RNA, 253 nt
Filed under: uncultured bacterium
Lineage: Bacteria
Description: partial 16S ribosomal RNA
Rfam family: Bacterial small subunit ribosomal RNA
Source: RNAcentral